AACGAACGCUGGCGGCGUGGAUUAGGCAUGCAAGUCGAACGCGAAAGGGAGCUUCGGUUCCUGAGUAGAGUGGCAAACGGGUGAGUAACACGUGAAGAACCUGCCUGGAAGUGGGGGACAACACUCCUAACGGGGUGCUAAUACCGCAUGUGCAUGAAUUACCGCAUGGUUUUAUAUGUAAAGGUGGCCUCUACUUGUAAGCUACCGCUUCCAGAUGGCUUUGCGUCCCAUUAGCUUGUUGGUGGGGUAAUGGCCUACCAAGGCGACGAUGGGUAGCUGGUCUGAGAGGAUGGUCAGCCACACUGGGACUGAGAUACGGCCCAG
RNAcentral lists this ribosomal RNA (324 nucleotides) under uncultured bacterium. Its description in RNAcentral is "bacterial SSU rRNA". It matches the Rfam family "Bacterial small subunit ribosomal RNA", at positions 29 to 334 of the family's 1533-position model. The record is from RNAcentral.